Molecule: ribosomal RNA, 699 nt
Filed under: uncultured Serratia sp.
Lineage: Bacteria; Pseudomonadati; Pseudomonadota; Gammaproteobacteria; Enterobacterales; Yersiniaceae
Description: bacterial SSU rRNA
Rfam family: Bacterial small subunit ribosomal RNA
Source: RNAcentral
GAACGAUGUCGAUUUGGAGGUUGUGCCCUUGAGGCGUGGCUUCCGGAGCUAACGCGUUAAAUCGACCGCCUGGGGAGUACGGCCGCAAGGUUAAAACUCAAAUGAAUUGACGGGGGCCCGCACAAGCGGUGGAGCAUGUGGUUUAAUUCGAUGCAACGCGAAGAACCUUACCUACUCUUGACAUCCAGAGAAUUUAGCAGAGAUGCUUUAGUGCCUUCGGGAACUCUGAGACAGGUGCUGCAUGGCUGUCGUCAGCUCGUGUUGUGAAAUGUUGGGUUAAGUCCCGCAACGAGCGCAACCCUUAUCCUUUGUUGCCAGCACAUUAUGGUGGGAACUCAAAGGAGACUGCCGGUGAUAAACCGGAGGAAGGUGGGGAUGACGUCAAGUCAUCAUGGCCCUUACGAGUAGGGCUACACACGUGCUACAAUGGCGUAUACAAAGAGAAGCGACCUCGCGAGAGCAAGCGGAACUCAUAAAGUACGUCGUAGUCCGGAUUGGAGUCUGCAACUCGACUCCAUGAAGUCGGAAUCGCUAGUAAUCGUAGAUCAGAAUGCUACGGUGAAUACGUUCCCGGGCCUUGUACACACCGCCCGUCACACCAUGGGAGUGGGUUGCAAAAGAAGUAGGUAGCUUAACCUUCGGGAGGGCGCUUACCACUUUGUGAUUCAUGACUGGGGUGAAGUCGUAACAAGGUAACCA